GACGAACGCUGGCGGCGUGCUUAACACAUGCAAGUCGAACGGAAAGGCCCCUUCGGGGGUACUCGAGUGGCGAACGGGUGAGUAGCACGUGAGUAACCUGCCCUUGACUUCGGGAUAACUUCAGGAAACUGGGGCUAAUACCGGAUAGGAAUCCUUGCUGCAUGGUGGGGGUUGGAAAGCUUCGGCGGUUUUGGAUGGACUCGCGGCUUAUCAGCUUGUUGGUGGGGUAGUGGCUUACCAAGGCUUUGACGGGUAGCCGGCCUGAGAGGGCGACCGGCCACAUUGGGACUGAGAUACGGCCCAGACUCCUACGGGAGGCAGCAGUGGGGAAUAUUGCACAAUGGGCGGAAGCCUGAUGCAGCAACGCCGCGUGCGGGAUGACGGCCUUCGGGUUGUAAACCGCUUUCAGCAGGGGCGAAGCUUGUGGUGACGGUACCUGCAGAAGAAGCACCGGCUAACUACGUG
RNAcentral lists this ribosomal RNA (465 nucleotides) under uncultured bacterium. RNAcentral's name for it is "partial 16S ribosomal RNA". It matches the Rfam family "Bacterial small subunit ribosomal RNA", at positions 28 to 507 of the family's 1533-position model. The record is from RNAcentral.